GGGGCGAGCGCAGGAUCCUGUGCUGUGUCCCCAGCACCCUGGGAUCCGGGGCCUGCGCCACUGGAAUCAUGAUCCUGGGGCCAUGCAGCCCCCU
RNAcentral lists this microRNA precursor (94 nucleotides) under Canis lupus familiaris (dog). RNAcentral describes it as "mir-8799 microRNA precursor family". It matches the Rfam family "mir-8799 microRNA precursor family". Lineage: Eukaryota; Metazoa; Chordata; Mammalia; Carnivora; Canidae. RNAcentral also lists the same sequence under 1 other name. The record is from Rfam by way of RNAcentral.